CAUGAGUUUGGGCUGAACUCCUUCUGUAUCCUGGCCUUGUGCUGCAGUUUCUCAGCCCCAGCUGAUGAGAUGAAGAAGACUGAUGUUCUGGGAAGGUCACUGGGUGGCCUCUAGGAUUCCUGAGUCUGCAGUGCAUGGCUGAAUGUGAGCAGCACCUAGGCUGAGUCUGCCCCUCCCUCUGGUCUCCUUCCAACCCCUCAAGGGACUGAUGGAAAACUGAGUGGGUCCUGCCUCUUCCCCUGCCUGGGGGUACCUCUGCAGCAUCAUUGUCAGUGGUGACCACCAAAAUUAUCCAGUUCCAGCAUGGUCAAGAAGCUGAAUGUUCUCCUGCAGCCCCCAGGGUACCACGCACGGGGCUGGGCACACUGCAGGCUCCCAACAUAUGGAGAAGGCAGGGAAGCCAUCCUCUCCCAGGAAGGACAGAGUGUCCCUCCGUCCAGCCACUCUGCCUGCCUCCUCCAGCAGGACAUCAUAGAAAUCACAGCAUCUUGGGACAGACAGACAAACGCCUGAUCUCUAUGGCUGGGUUGUGGAGAGGACAGUGAGAAGAGACUACAAGGAGUAAAACAGUAGCAGAGACAAGGAGGGGGCUCCCCUGCAACCCCUGAGCUCUGGCCCACACCUCCUUUUCUCCCACGCGUUCCCUCCAGGGCAUCUCAGAUCCAUUCAACUGUGUGGGUUGAAUGGCAGCCCUCAAAAUAUACGUCCUCGCGCUAAUCCCCAGCCCCUAUGAAUGGGACCUAAAAGGGUCUUUGCAGAUGUGAUUAAAUUAAAGAACUUGAGAUGAGAUCAUCCUGGAUUACCCGGGUGGGCCUUAAAUCCAAUGACAAGUAUCCUUAUGAAGUGACACAAAAGAGAGAGACAGAGGAGAGGUGAGGGGAGACGGAGGCCAGGAUGGGAGUGACGCUGCCACAGCUGAGCAUCAUCUGAGACAACAGGAGCUGGAAGAGGCAAAGAGGGACUCUCCUCUAGAGUAUCUGGAGGGAGUGUGGCCCUGAUACCUUGAUCCUGGUCUCCAGAACUGUGAAAAUAAAUGCCCACUGUCUUA
This 1048-nucleotide long non-coding RNA is filed under the name Homo sapiens (human). Its description in RNAcentral is "PREDICTED lncRNA (TCONS_00028878)". The record is from RNAcentral. Lineage: Eukaryota; Metazoa; Chordata; Mammalia; Primates; Hominidae.